RNAcentral lists this small nuclear RNA (113 nucleotides) under Suricata suricatta (meerkat). Its description in RNAcentral is "U5 spliceosomal RNA (ENSSSUG00005007169.1)". It matches the Rfam family "U5 spliceosomal RNA". Rfam says of the family: U5 RNA is a component of both types of known spliceosome. The record is from Rfam by way of RNAcentral. Lineage: Eukaryota; Metazoa; Chordata; Mammalia; Carnivora; Herpestidae.
AUACUCCGGUUUCUCUUCAGCUCGCAUAAAUCUUUCGCCUUUUACUAAAGAUUUCCGUGGAGAGAAACAAUUCUGAGUCUUUAAUUUUUUGGGGCCUUGCUCUGGCCAAGGCU